RNAcentral lists this ribosomal RNA (365 nucleotides) under uncultured bacterium. RNAcentral describes it as "bacterial SSU rRNA". It matches the Rfam family "Bacterial small subunit ribosomal RNA", at positions 118 to 479 of the family's 1533-position model. The record is from RNAcentral.
UGGGAAACUGCCUGAUGGAGGGGGAUAACUACUGGAAACGGUAGCUAAUACCGCAUAACGUCGCAAGACCAAAGAGGGGGACCUUCGGGCCUCUUGCCAUCGGAUGUGCCCAGAUGGGAUUAGCUUGUUGGUGGGGUAACGGCUCACCAAGGCGACGAUCCCUAGCUGGUCUGAGAGGAUGACCAGCCACACUGGGACUGAGACACGGUCCAGACUCCUACGGGAGGCAGCAGUGGGGAAUAUUGCACAAUGGGCGCAAGCCUGAUGCAGCCAUGCCGCGUGUAUGAAGAAGGCCUUCGGGUUGUAAAGUACUUUCAGCGGGGAGGAAGGGAGUAAAGUUAAUACCUUUGCUCAUUGACGUUACC